Molecule: long non-coding RNA, 745 nt
Organism: Cavia porcellus (domestic guinea pig)
Lineage: Eukaryota; Metazoa; Chordata; Mammalia; Rodentia; Caviidae
Exons: 3
Source: RefSeq, a predicted model, not a curated record
GAGAAUGCAUCUGUCUAAUCCCUGUUCUCUUUCUGUUGCCUAAAGGGGUCUUUGACACAUGGUGUUUAUAGAGCAAAUGAAUGAAGCCAAGGAAUGAAUGAAUGAGCUCUCCAUCGGAAUGGUGGGAGGAAGAGGCAGUGUCUACUUGGAGAAGUGGAAAAAAGUGGUAACUGAAGCAGGAUAUGCCAGAGAUCUCCACUUUAGCCACUGAGUGCAGGUGAAAAGGCUCUCAGAAGAAAAUCAACAGUAGCAAAGACAAAGGCUGCCUGGAUUCUGGACAUGUGCCUCUUGCUGUACGAUUGUGGGGACCCCAGAGAUCAUCUGUACGGGUGGAUCUGAUGCCCCACCUCCACACCUCGGUGUCCUGCAGUCCUGAGUUUCGAGGGAAAUGCAAUGGGCUCAAGACUCUACCAAAGAUGCCACAGUCUUUCCAAGGAAGGAGCUCUUGCGUAUGGAUGGAACUCAUGACCUCCCACCUGCCAGGUAGGAGCUCAUGCUGGUGAAAAAAGGACUGUCAACCACGAAUUCUACGUCUGAGAAAAUUAUUCUUCAAAAAUAAAGGGGUAAUAAAUGUUUUAGGUGAAGAAAAAUGAAGAAACCUGUGUUGCUUGUAGAUAUCACUGUAAAGGAUGGCUGGAGGACAUUUUCAAGGAAAAGAUAGCAGAAGAAGGCUUAGAACCACAGAAGGGAAAGGGUGACGAAGUGGAUUUAAAACAUUUCCAAAAUGUGAUGCAGUAAAUAAAAC